This is a long non-coding RNA of Phacochoerus africanus (Common warthog), 2511 nucleotides long. RefSeq lists it as uncharacterized. Lineage: Eukaryota; Metazoa; Chordata; Mammalia; Artiodactyla; Suidae. The transcript is spliced from 8 exons. The record is from RefSeq and is a predicted model, not a curated record.
AAAACCGAAGUUCAAAGGGAAGCGACUUGCCCAUGGCCACCCUCCUGAUGAUUAGGAUUUGCUUCCAGGGAGUCUGGCGCUGAGACCAUCUUCUUAACCACCUCUCCACACGGCCUCUCUAAGAUGGUGCUAAAAGCCCCAGGAAGCCUGGCGUCCCAGGAUCUGCCUCUACUUUUUGAAGAGCUUACCUGCAUUGAUAUCAGAGUUCAGGAUAAUUCCACUCAAGGCAGAUUUCUCUCCCCAAGAAAUUCUGACUCACAAAUUGGAGCAGCCUGAUUAAUCAAGAGGGAUUUUGCGGCAAAUGCCAUCAGACAUCCCGCCAUCCCCUUUCAGGAGGGGAGAAGCCCUGCUCUGGCUGGUGUCACCCAGCAAUCAGGACCACCUGUAAGGAUGCAAAGGUGAGGAGAAAACCCAGUGCUUGAGAGUUGAUCUUCCCUGCAGAGGAACAGCUCCCAGCAUCCAUGGCUUAAGUACAUUACAUCUCAGAAUUCAGCACAGGGUGUGUCAAGACAAUCCAGCAGAGGAUGAUGAGGUGUUUCAACAAAGUGUUCUAAGAUAGGUGAUAUCCACAUGCAGAAGAAGGAAGUUAGAUGCUUACCUCACACCACAUACAGAUGGACUCUGGAUCUAAAUAGCCCCCACUGCCAUGAAGAUGCACCUUUGGAUUCUGAGUCCUGCCCAGAUCUGAAUCCCAGGAGGUAGCAUCACUCCUCCAGCAGUAGGACGUGGCAGUGCCCUGACAGCAGUGAGAAUAAACCCUAGAGCUUCUAAGGGGCCAAACGUGCCCUUUGAGAAUGAAGUCAAGGAGAACUGAGAGACUGAGAAGGUGAUCAGGUAUAGAUGAUGUUGUUUGCAACCCUGAACAUGGCACUUCCUGAAGCAUGGUCUAUCUUCAGACUUUUCAAUUAUGUAGCUGAUGAGGAUGCUCACCCCAACCCUGAGUAUUUGUUACCCGUGCUCAGGACAGGAGUCCUGGCCACCGCUCAGAUCCGGUUCUUGGGCUAAGGAGCUUCUGCUCUGAGCUGGCAGCAGACACCCAAUAAGCCUCAGUGACAGGGCCCUGCUGAGGGAUAAGGAAGAUACGUGAGGACCCAGGGAAGAGCAGCCUGCUGACUACAAGUUCCUCGAGGGCAAGGACCACGUCUGAUGAAUGUCCCACUGCAGCCCAUCCCACAGCACGACUGUAUCGUGAUAAAAGCAGAAUGAGAGAAUAAAUGAAGGAAUGCAAGGCAGACCGCAAGGAAAGCCAAUGGAGAGGUAAAACCAAGCAGCCCCUGGAGGCCUGAGGAGAGGGUGCUAUCUCCAUCUGGGGGAUCUAGGAAGACUUCCUGGAGGAGGUGGCAUUGGAACUUUGGGGAUUCUCUGGCUGUGAAUUCAGAGCGUUCUCCUGCCUCAUUUAGACAUUCAAAGACGACUUACUAAUUAACAACUGGAGAAAGAAUUCUGCAUGCAGACUGUUUGUACCUUAGCCGAGUGUCCCCAAACUUGGGAAACACAGUAGCACUUUAUGUAGGUUUCCAGUUGAGCCUGGAAUCAGUGUGAGUUGUUGGGAGGGGUUUGGGGAGUGGGGUAGACAGGCACAGGCUCUGCAGAGCCUGGCACCACACCCCUCUCUCUUCCCUUCAGAGAACAUCUUUCCAGAGACCAUCACAUUUGAUCUUGCCGAUUAUUUGGUCAACCUCUUUUCUCUGGGCAGCGCUGAUGGGGAACAACAUAUGCUUGGUCUUCUGCCUUCCUCUCCUAUGCACACCCCUACACACACCCACAUCACACCCAUUUAUCUCCAUGACAACAAGGGGAGAGAGCGUGGCCUGAUGCUUCCAGGCCUCAAUACGCGGACUUACAACCUAGAGACUUAGCAGUUCUGGCCCUGCAGCCUCACAAAGAAGGACUAGAGUGAUUGCAGAGGCCAGGCAUGAAGAAGGGAGGGCUUUGGGGUUGCUUGUGCCCUCAGAGAGGAGGGGUCAUUGCCCUGAGAGCCCUACUGCUGGCCGUUUCCUGAUGAAGAGGUUGGUUAUUUUGCCCCCUCAUCCCUUGUCAGGGAUAAGCAGCGAUUGGGGGAAGGAGGGCCAGCUUUGUAUCCAAUCCCAGCUCUACCAUUUCCUUCUUGUGAGUUCUCUGAACCUCUGGAUCUGCAUCUAUAAAAGGACAACUCCUUGAAAGGACUUCUGUGACUUCUAGAAAUUGGCAUAAAAAAAAAUCUAUCAACGCCUCUGUUUUAGAAACUAACCAAAUGAGAUUGGUCAAAAUCAGAGAUAGGGUGUGAGGGGUGGAGAACGUGGAAACCAGCAAAAUAGGGAAACAACUAGUCAGUCUAAUUAAGAAAAAGAGUAGAGAUAAAACAAUACCAAAAUUAGGAGUUGGAAGGGGAAUAUGGCCAUUGGUAUUACACAGAGGACAUUAUAAAACUAAUAUGAGGAUAUAUGAACCAACUCUGUAAAAUAUGUUGAAGACAAGAUCAAAUGCAUAUUUUUCUAUGAAAACAUAAACUUAACUUUAAAAAUGGCAGUU